AGGCACUGGCACAGGUUGCCCCGAGAAGCUGUGGCUGCCCCAUCCCUGGCAGUGUUCAAGGCCAAGUUGGAUGGGGCUUUGAGCAACCUCAUCUGGUGGAAGGUGUCUCUGCCUAUGGCAAGGGUGUUGGAACUAGACGGGUUUUAGUGCUCCUUCCAACCUAAACCAUUCUGUGAUUCUAUGAUUCUGUGAUCUUGUAAUGUAGUAUGUCUCUGUUCUAGUAGGAAUCCCCUGCGAUGUGGUCCUCUACAAAUACCACAAAAGGCAAGCAUUUUCUUCCCUCUCUUGCCUUUUCAUUGCUAGAACUUUUUUCUAAUCAGGCUGUAAUCUACUAGCUAAGACUACAGCUUUCCUUGCAGAUCCAAUGGAUAUGCAGUAUCUGUCCAUACAUAAAGUAAGCCUUCAGUGAUACAUCAGUUGGUGCUGCACUGGAAUUUUUACAUAUAAGCUCUUUAUCACUGAAUGGUUCCUUUCACUGUCAGUAGGAACACCAUGUAUGAGGAGGAACUGGCAUCAAUGAGUAGAGAAAAAAACAAAUUAUCUGGGAAAUCCAAUAGUACAGUUCCUCAAUAAUUUUACUGACUCUCCAUGCCAUGUUCUGUGCUGCCACUCAUGUAAUCAGGUCCUCACCUGGACUGUGCAGCCAGGGCUGUCCCUCAUGCCACCAUCUGUGCAGAUGAGUUUAAACCACCUUCCCCGCUGGAGUCAGCAGGGCAUUGUCCAGUCACAUUGUGUGGCUGCCAGUCCUAGCCGAGGGCUGGAUCCACCCCCAGUGACUGCUCUCCUUAACCAAAGGUAAGUCACUUCUGACAUGGAAUUUCCUCCUACUGGGUACUGGUCAACCAGCCAUCUUCCAAAGGUGAGUCUGGAAGUAACAGUAACACCUCGGAGGCCUCUGCAGGCCUCACCUGUUAAGAAGUAUUUGACUUGUGAAGAAAUAUUUGCAGCUAGCAAUCUCAUCUGGUGAGCACCAUUUCUUUAACAAAGGAGGAAAGUAUUCAUAAAAGGAUAUACUGCCUAGGGCUUCCUAAUCUGCCUAGAUCCUCCUUAUUUGAAGAAUUGCAGUCACUGCUGGUAUCCUGCUUAUCCAGGAGUUGGGUGAAGAAGAAAUUGUAUAACUCGAAAGUAUAUAAAGUCUUUAACUGCUUCAACUGGGCAGAGUUCCUAUCUGCCUCUGCUGUUCUGGGUUCUCUCCUAUGGCACUACAUUGCUGCUCUUCUGACCUGAUCAUAGUUGUAUUUCAGUUACACCAUGACAGACUUUGGUGCUGUGACUUGGAUUCAAAUGUCCUGCUUCCCCUGGGAGGACCACUGACUGAUCCCUGCUGAAACCCCCUUGGUACCACUUAGAAAGGUAAGGAAUCUUCAGAAGUAGUAAAUCCUGUUGGUAUUUCAAGACAGCUCAUAUGUCAUCCAGUAAACAAGCCUUUCUCCAUAACCCUCCCUCAUUUCUGGAUACAGUGCUUUCCUUUAAGUCCUAUGACUCCAGUUAACCUCCUGGGAAAAGACAGUGAUGUAAAUUGGGUUGUGCUGUAUAUUGUGACUCUACCUUACUGCGCACACCUCAACGGGCGAAUUUAUGGCUUUUUUGCUUUAUGAACCUCCCACUGCAAAUUUUACUGCUGUUCAAGGGCAGUUUUAUGAAGAAAGAGUUGUGUAACACAAAGGUAUAUAAACUCUGUGACUGCCUCAUUUGGGCAGAGUUCACAUCAGCAGAGUCCCCUCCUUCAGCUGUAGCAGUAAACUACUUUUGUUCUAACCUGA
Molecule: long non-coding RNA, 1763 nt
Organism: Pezoporus occidentalis (night parrot)
Lineage: Eukaryota; Metazoa; Chordata; Aves; Psittaciformes; Psittacidae
Exons: 2
Source: RefSeq, a predicted model, not a curated record